AAAUUGAAGAGUUUGAUCAUGGCUCAGAUUGAACGCUGGCGGCAGGCCUAACACAUGCAAGUCGAGCGGUAGCACAGAGAGCUUGCUCUCGGGUGACGAGCGGCGGACGGGUGAGUAAUGUCUGGGAAACUGCCUGAUGGAGGGGGAUAACUACUGGAAACGGUAGCUAAUACCGCAUAACGUCGCAAGACCAAAGUGGGGGACCUUCGGGCCUCAUGCCAUCAGAUGUGCCCAGAUGGGAUUAGCUAGUAGGUGGGGUAACGGCUCACCUAGGCGACGAUCCCUAGCUGGUCUGAGAGGAUGACCAGCCACACUGGAACUGAGACACGGUCCAGACUCCUACGGGAGGCAGCAGUGGGGAAUAUUGCACAAUGGGCGCAAGCCUGAUGCAGCCAUGCCGCGUGUGUGAAGAAGGCCUUCGGGUUGUAAAGCACUUUCAGCGGGGAGG
Molecule: ribosomal RNA, 448 nt
Filed under: Klebsiella pneumoniae
Lineage: Bacteria; Pseudomonadati; Pseudomonadota; Gammaproteobacteria; Enterobacterales; Enterobacteriaceae
Description: bacterial SSU rRNA
Rfam family: Bacterial small subunit ribosomal RNA
Source: RNAcentral